UGAGGAAUAUUGGUCAAUGGGCGGGAGCCUGAACCAGCCAAGUCGCGUGAGGGAGGAAGGUCCUACGGAUUGUAAACCUCUUUAGCCGGGGAGCAACGUGCGCCACGUGUGGCGCAGUGAGAGUACCCGGAGAAUAAGCAUCGGCUAACUACGUGCCAGCAGCCGCGGUAAUACGUAGGUGGCGAGCGUUGUCCGGAAUUAUUGGGCGUAAAGGGAGCGCAGGCGGGAAGGUAAGUCUAUCUUAAAAGUGCGGGGCUCAACCCCGUGAGGGGAUGGAAACUAUCUUUCUUGAGUGCAGGAGAGGAAAGCGGAAUUCCUAGUGUAGCGGUGAAAUGCGUAGAUAUUAGGAGGAACACCAGUGGCGAAGGCGGCUUUCUGGACUGUAACUGACGCUGAGGCUCGAAAGCGUGGGGAGCGAACAGGAUUAGAUACCCUGGUAGU
This 441-nucleotide ribosomal RNA is filed under the name uncultured Mitsuokella sp. Its description in RNAcentral is "bacterial SSU rRNA". It matches the Rfam family "Bacterial small subunit ribosomal RNA", at positions 355 to 794 of the family's 1533-position model. The record is from RNAcentral. Lineage: Bacteria; Bacillati; Bacillota; Negativicutes; Selenomonadales; Selenomonadaceae.